GACGAACGCUGGCGGCGUGCUUAACACAUGCAAGUCGAACGGAAAGGCCCUGCUUGCAGGGUGCUCGAGUGGCGAACGGGUGAGUAACACGUGGGUGAUCUGCCCCUUACUUUGGGAUAAGCCUGGGAAACUGGGUCUAAUACUGGAUAGGACCAUGCUGUAGGGGGUGUGGGGGAAAGAUUAGUUUCGGUAAGGGAUGAGCUCGCGGCCUAUCAGCUUGUUGGUGGGGUAAUGGCCUACCAAGGCGUCGACGGGUAGCCGGCCUGAGAGGGUGGACGGCAACAUUGGGACUGAGAUACGGCCCAGACGCCUACGGGAGGCAGCAGUGGGGAAUAUUGCACAAUGGGCGCAAGCCUGAUGCAGCGACGCCGCGUGGGGGAUGACGGCCUUCGGGUUGUAAACUCCUUUCAGCCAUGACGAAGCCCUUGUGGUGACGGUAGUGGUAGAAGAAGCACCGGCUAACUACGUG
RNAcentral lists this ribosomal RNA (469 nucleotides) under uncultured bacterium. Its description in RNAcentral is "partial 16S ribosomal RNA". It matches the Rfam family "Bacterial small subunit ribosomal RNA", at positions 28 to 507 of the family's 1533-position model. The record is from RNAcentral.